Molecule: long non-coding RNA, 848 nt
Filed under: Salvia miltiorrhiza (redroot sage)
Lineage: Eukaryota; Viridiplantae; Streptophyta; Magnoliopsida; Lamiales; Lamiaceae
Description: long non-coding RNA (SMIL_LNC002210)
Source: RNAcentral
GCUUAAACACCAAUUUGUACGGAAAUCAGCCUAGGAAAACCAAAACAUUUCGAAACCGAAAAACAGGAACAUGCAUUAGCUGGUUUAUAAAAGCUUUACACGUGUAAGCAUCCUAGAGUGAAGGCGUUUUACGCAGAGGUGUAGCAUAGACUUUUCCGUGUCAUAGCUUGUUAUUCGAAUAUGGUUGCAGCUGGUCUGAUCAUGAUCAGGCAGUGUAGCUACUGAAGAAGGUGAUGACUAUUUCCCAAAACUCUUUCCUCUGUAUAUAGAAAGUAGAAACCGUGAAUUGCUUCACUUCAUUUAUGAAGAAACCUCAAACAAGGUGAAAAUAUAAUAUGUAGAAAUUUUCCUAACCAAGUGUCAUAAACUGUUUUAACGAGAGAGUGUGAUUAUUUAGUGUUAAUAUAUAAGAGUAGUAGAGUACCCACUUUUUGUGUUAAAGGACUAAAUUACCCUUCUAUAUAAAUGGACAAACUCUAAUUUUCUUUCAUUCUUUCAUUUCUCUCUCUCUACCCGCUCUUUCCUCUCUCUCUCUCUCUAUACACGCCCUCUCUCUUCUCUCUCUUUCUCGUGAUCUUUCUCUUCCAAGCGGCGCCGCCGCAUGCUCUUCACCACGCCGCCGCCUUAGCACGGCCACCGCCAACUCCGUCCUUCACCACGCCGCCGCCUCAGCGCCGAUUUCUCUCUCUCUCUCUCUCUCUCGAAUCCUCCAACAAGGCGUGGAAUUCCUCCUCCAGAAACACCAUGGCGUGCUGCAGCGCCGCGCUCGUCUGAUUCAUCGACGGGUUCACGUUCGAAUUCGCCGGGAACUCGCUCAACAACACGUUCAUCAAUUUGGAGAUGCGCCG